AUUGAACGCUGGCGGCAUGCCUUACACAUGCAAGUCGAACGGGAACAGGUCUUCGGAUGCUGACGAGUGGCGAACGGGUGAGUAAUACAUCGGAACGUGCCUAGUAGUGGGGGAUAACUACUCGAAAGAGUGGCUAAUACCGCAUGAGAUCUACGGAUGAAAGCAGGGGAUCGCAAGACCUUGUGCUACUAGAGCGGCCGAUGGCAGAUUAGGUAGUUGGUGGGAUAAAAGCUUACCAAGCCGACGAUCUGUAGCUGGUCUGAGAGGACGAUCUGCCACACUGGGACUGGGACACGGCCCAGACUCCUACGUGAGGAAGCAGUGGGGAAUUUUGGACAAUGGGCGCGAGCCUGAUCCUGCAAUGCCGCGUGCAGGAUGAAGGCCUUCGGGUUGUAAGCUGCUUUUGUACGGAACGAAAAGCCCCGGGUUAAUACCCUGGGGUCAUGACGGUACCGUAAGAAUAAGCACCGGCUAACUACGUGCCAGCCGCCGCCGUAA
RNAcentral lists this ribosomal RNA (498 nucleotides) under uncultured bacterium. Its description in RNAcentral is "partial 16S ribosomal RNA". It matches the Rfam family "Bacterial small subunit ribosomal RNA", at positions 30 to 523 of the family's 1533-position model. The record is from RNAcentral.